This 147-nucleotide ribosomal RNA is filed under the name uncultured Methanococcoides sp. RNAcentral's name for it is "partial 16S ribosomal RNA". It matches the Rfam family "Archaeal small subunit ribosomal RNA", at positions 400 to 545 of the family's 1478-position model. Lineage: Archaea; Methanobacteriati; Methanobacteriota; Methanomicrobia; Methanosarcinales; Methanosarcinaceae. The record is from RNAcentral.
AUGUUGGCUGUCCACAUGUGUAAACGGCAUGUGUUAGCAAGGGCCGGGCAAGACCGGUGCCAGCCGCCGCGGUAACACCGGCGGCCCGAGUGGUAAUCACUUUUAUUGGGUCUAAAGGGUCCGUAGCCGGUUUGAUCAGUUCUUCGG